GAUGAACGCUGGCGGCGUGCCUAAUACAUGCAAGUCGAGCGAACGGACGAGAAGCUUGCUUCUCUGAUGUUAGCGGCGGACUGGUGAGUAACACGUGGAUAACCUACCUAUAAGACUGGGAUAACUUCGGGAAGCCGUAGCUAAUACCGGAUAAUAUUUUGAACCGCAUGGUUCAAAAGUGAAAGACGGUCUUGCUGUCACUUAUAGAUGGAUCCGCGCUGCAUUAGCUAGUUGGUAAGGUAACGGCUUACCAAGGCAACGAUGCAUAGCCGACCUGAGAGGGUGAUCGGCCACACUGGAACUGAGACACGGUCCAGACUCCUACGGGAGGCAGCAGUAGGGAAUCUUCCGCAAUGGGCGAAAGCCUGACGGAGCAACGCCGCGUGAGUGAUGAAGGUCUUCGGAUCGUAAAACUCUGUUAUUAGGGAAGAACAUAUGUGUAAGUAACUGUGCACAUCUUGACGGUACCUAAUCAGAAAGCCACGGCUAACUACGUG
Molecule: ribosomal RNA, 497 nt
Filed under: uncultured bacterium
Lineage: Bacteria
Description: partial 16S ribosomal RNA
Rfam family: Bacterial small subunit ribosomal RNA
Source: RNAcentral